UCCUUACCUAUCUAUCAGACCUAAACACUGGUCUGAGUGGUUAUAACAGAAAAGUAAAACGUGAAACUGACUUAAAUUCUUUUGUGUCACACAAGCUAGUGUCAAACAAAC
This 111-nucleotide small nucleolar RNA is filed under the name Echinops telfairi (small Madagascar hedgehog). Its description in RNAcentral is "Small nucleolar RNA SNORA61 (ENSETEG00000025097.1)". Lineage: Eukaryota; Metazoa; Chordata; Mammalia; Afrosoricida; Tenrecidae. The record is from RNAcentral.